CCAAAGGCUCUUUUAAGAGCCACCCACUUACUCUACGAGAGAGCUG
Alligator sinensis (Chinese alligator) is the source of this 46-nucleotide non-coding RNA. The record is from Rfam. Lineage: Eukaryota; Metazoa; Chordata; Crocodylia; Alligatoridae.